Long non-coding RNA from Camelina sativa (false flax), 4003 nucleotides. RefSeq lists it as uncharacterized. NCBI's taxonomy places the organism in Eukaryota, Viridiplantae, Streptophyta, Magnoliopsida, Brassicales, Brassicaceae. The record is from RefSeq and is a predicted model, not a curated record.
AGUGAUAGUGUAAUGCGUGUAUGGUCAAUAAUGAAACCAAAGGGUUCCUGAAGAGCAAGCAGCUAGGCCAUUGGAUCAAAUCUCUCUGCCUCUGAGAUGGUGAAAUCAUGCUAUGUUACUGGAUCUGGAUGUAUCUGCUGAUUAAUCAUAUGGUUUAGUGACAGUGUAAUGCGGGUAUGGUCAAUAAUGAAACCAAAGGGUUCCUGAAGAGCAAGCAGAUAGGCUAUUGGAUCAAAUCUCUCUGCCUCUGAGGUGGUGAAAUCAAGCUUUGUCACUGGAUCUGGAUUUAUCUUCUGAUUACAUGGCCAAGACUGAACUUGCAGAAUCUGUCUGGCUCAGGAAUCUUACUUACACGGAUGAUACUCUCUAGAUGGCUAACAUGGUAGCUGUAACUGAAGGAAAUUUUUGGGGAUAUCUAAAAACGGCAACGCAAGAAGCUCUUUUAUUUGUCCUGUUCCAGGUAAAAAUGAUGUGGAUCCACCCUGCCUUGAUUGCUGCUGCCUCUGGUGCGUAAUAUCAAAAUUUUAGAGAUCAUCAGAGUGACAGUGUAAUGCGUGUAUGGUCAAUAGUGAAACCAAAGGGUUGUUGCAAGCGUAGUGUUGCUCUUGGACAAGCAGAUAGGCCAUUGGAUCAAAUCACCCUGUCUCUGAGAUGGUGAAAUCAUGCUCUGUUACUGGAUCUGGAAUUAUCAGCUGAUUAUAUGGCCAAGUCUGAACUCGCAGAAUCUGCCUGGCUCAGGACUCUCACUUACACGGCUUGGGCCACCAAAGACACUCUCGAUGGCAAACACGGUAGUUGUAACUAAAGGAGAUUUCAGGGGAAAUCUACAAAAGGCAACUCAAGAAGCUCUUUAAUGUGUCCAGUUCCAGGUAAAAUUGAUGUGGAUCCACCCUGCCUUUGCUGCUGCCUCUGGUGCUUAAUAUCAAAGUUUUCAGAGAUCAUCAAAGUGACAGUGUAUUGGGUGUAUGGUCAGUAAUGAAACCAAAGGGUUCCUGAAGAGCAAGCAGAUAGGCCAUUGGAUCAAAUCUCAUUGCCUUAGAGAUGGUGAAAUCAUUAUCUGUUACUCGAUCUCGAUGUAUCUGCUGAUUAUAUGGCCAAGUCUGAAUUUGCAGAACCUGCCUCGCUCAGGACACUUACACGGCUUGGGCAACCAAAGACACUCUCCCGAUGGUAAACAUGGUAGCUGUAACUGAAGGAAAUUUUGGGGGAUAUCUAAAAACGUCAACUCAAGAACCCCCUUAUGCUAAUGAGAAUUUCAAGCUUCCAACAAUUAACCUAAUUCUCAAGGAGAGAGUUGGGUUAAAGGGAAGUUAGCUCUUAAAAUCUCUUGUCCUAGUUCCAAUCACGGCUCCAAUCACUAGAUCAAAGUCGGCUCAUAUCGUCUUGGUAUCAGAGCAAGCCGGUUCAAUCGGAGAAGGUGCGAUGACCACAUCACAAUUUGAGGAAGUUAAGAAGAUGUUCGAACGUCUACACGCUGACCUGGGUGAACUCCACCAGACUUCAAACUCACACCAAGCCGCCCUUGAGUCCAUAAAAGCGGACCAACAGGAGGAGCGAGAGCAAAAUAAGUAAAGGAUGGAAGAAGUUCGUGAAGAGCGAACCUAGAUCAGGGAAGCUAUAAAAGCCGAUAAGCAAGAAGCCUUGGGUAAAAUUCGUUUUUUGGCCUCGGUGGUGGGAGUGGAAGCAGAGGAGGUUGAAAAAGACACAUCAUCGGUUUCUAAAGCAGAAAAAAAUAACAACACUAACGGAGGAGAGGGUAAAGGCACUUCCUCUGGUGGUCCUUGGGCACAACGAUCUAUGGGAAGAGAACAUGGACACCGAUUGCAAGAUGGAGGUGGAGAAUGGUCGGUGAGGCCCAUUGGGGAACUUCCACAAGAGGAGAGAUCGACUCACAUGACGGGAGACCUUAGGGAACACAAGGGGGCUGUUUGGAAAAGUGGAGCUGAAGGAAGAGAGAGUGGAGGAAGGGAGGCUGAGAGAAUCAUAGUUCCACCAUCUAAGAUGGAAUUUCCGGGAUAUGAUGGCUCAACGAAUGCUGUUGAGUGGCUGCAGAAGUGUGAAGACUACUUUGAGGAUCAAGGAAUAUACAACGAUGAUGCGAAAGUGCGACAAGCAACCUUUGUGUUGACGGAUAAGGCACAUCAUUGGUAUAUCAAUUUGUGAAGGUUAAUUACACAUCGACUGGGUUGGAGAGAGAGUUUAAGAAAAUCUGCAAAAGUAGAUUUGGCAGAGCAGAUGCAGUAAAUCUUAUGGGUGAGCUAAGUAACCUACGACACAUAGGAACAGUAGAUGAGUAUUGUGAGCAGUUUGAGGAAUGUUUGGUAAGGCGAACGAAGCUAUCAGGUGAUCAACAGUUAUGACAGUUCUGUGUGGGUUUAACUGAUUCUUUGAGAAAAGAAGUUGAGUAUUUGAGGCCAGAGACAAUAUUUGAAGCAAUGGAAUAUGCCCAAGAUAAUGAAUACAAGAUUGAUAAUGACAAGCGGACACAGACGUUUGGAGGACAUUUGGCACCAAUAGCUAAACACUCGAUCUUGUUCCCUAGGACGGGAAAUCGUGAGAGCUCCAAGGGUGGGAAAGACAAGGAAGCUCAGUUUCCCCAACAAACAGAAGAGAAACCGGCUCCUCAACAACUAUUUUUGAAGAAAUUGACCACCGCAUAAAUGGAAGAGCAACGAGCAAAAGGUCUCUGCUUCAACUGUGAUGAAUUCUUCACCCGAGGGCAUGUUUGCAAACCAGUCCUUUUUCAGAUCACGGUAGUCAAUGAUGGUGCUAAUCAAGACGAUGAACCAAUUGAAGAGGAGGACAUGCCAUGAGCUGAAGCUUGAGGACAAGCUUCAAGUGGAAGAGGGGAGUAAUGAUAUGAUUAUUAGGUUUUGAUAUGAUUAUUAGAAUUAUGGUAUUAUUCUUUUUUAAUUAGAUUUAAGGUUUAUAUAAUUUACUUUUAAUAGAGAGAUAGGUCGGUGUAAGGUUUUAUAUAAGAACCCUCUUAUGCUAAUGAGAAUUUCAAGCUUCCAACAAUUAACCUAAUUCUCGAUGAGAGAGUUGGGUUAAAGGGAAGUUAGCUCUUAAAAUCUCUUGUUCUAGUUCCAAUCACGACUCCAAUCACUAGAUCAAAGUCGGCUCAUAUCAAAAUUUUAGAGAUCAUCAAAGUGACAGUGUAAUGCGUGUGUGGUCAAUAGUGAAACCAAAGGGUUCCAGAAGAGCAAGCAGGUUUCUUUCUUGGGUCUUUUUUAUGCUCCUAUUUCGUAGUUGUAGUAUAAUCUUCUUCUUUUUUUCUCUGUUAACACUUUCUUACUUUGAUUCAAAUCCCCCUGCUUCUGAGUCGGUGAAAUCAUGCUCUGUUACCGGAUCCGGAUUUAUCAGCCUAUUUAUAUGGUCGAGGAAACAAGCUUUUACAAACCUGAUAUCACUACCCUGAUUGAGGAAUUGACUGAUUGAAGAAAUUGUUGAUGAUGGUGUUAUUACCAUUGAAGACUUGAAUACCACACUCAUGCUUGUCAAGAUAGAUGGUGGUUUUACCUAUAACACAACGUCUUUGGUCCAUCGACAGAGAGUCUAAUCCCUGCAGAGCAUUAAGAAUAUUCUUAUCAAUGGAAGUGACACAUGGGCGCCUACUCUUCCUGUUAAGAGAGUCGUGGUUAAUUUUUACUCUCCCAACAUUGCAGAAGAAUUGCAUGUUGGUCAUCUAAGAUCACCUAUCAUCGGUGGUGACACGAUUACACAGUAAAGGUAUUGGCGAGCAUGACCACUUUGAUAAGUAAUUCAAAGAAGGAUGGCUUCCAGCCAAUGAUUUAAUUUACCCUAGAGCGAGGCAUGUUUGUUUUGGUGUUUUUCCUUGGAGGAGAUGGCAAAGAAGCGGUCCUGAAAUCUGUAUACUGAAACAGUCAGCCUAAGUUCAUUUGCUAGAUGUGGCCAAGACAUAGUAUAUAUAACCUUGUGUCAGAAUGGUUUUGGAUUUGUUGAAAUAAGCUCGUGAGCCCAAUAAACUCCGUUAAGAAAAAUU